Molecule: ribosomal RNA, 911 nt
Filed under: Muripulchra aquatica
Lineage: Eukaryota; Fungi; Ascomycota; Dothideomycetes; Tubeufiales; Tubeufiaceae
Description: eukaryotic LSU rRNA
Rfam family: Eukaryotic large subunit ribosomal RNA
Source: RNAcentral
CGGCGAGUGAAGCGGCAAUAGCUCAAAUUUGAAAUCUGGCUCUUUUAGAGUCCGAGUUGUAAUUUGUAGAGGAUGCUUCGGCUUACGUUUCGGUCUAAGUUCCUUGGAACAGGACGUCACAGAGGGUGAGAAUCCCGUUUGUGGCCGAGACUUCCGCCAUGUGAAGCUCCUUCGACGAGUCGAGUUGUUUGGGAAUGCAGCUCUAAAUGGGAGGUAAAUUUCUUCUAAAGCUAAAUACCGGCCAGAGACCGAUAGCGCACAAGUAGAGUGAUCGAAAGAUGAAAAGCACUUUGGAAAGAGAGUUAAAAAGUACGUGAAAUUGUUGAAAGGGAAGCGCUUGCGACCAGACUUGCCCGCGGAUGCUCAACCGGUCCUUCGGCCGGUGCACUCUUCCGCGGUCAGGCCAGCAUCAGUUCGGGCGGUUGGAUAAAGGCCUUGGGAAUGUGGCUCUCUUCGGGGAGUGUUAUAGCCCUUGGUGCAAUACAACCUGCCUGGACUGAGGCCCGCGCUUCGGCUAGGAUGCUGGCGUAAUGGUCGUAAGCGGCCCGUCUUGAAACACGGACCAAGGAGUCUAACAUCUAUGCGAGUGUUUGGGUGUCAAACCCGUGCGCGAAAUGAAAGUGAACGGAGGUGGGAAUCUUCGGAUGCACCAUCGACCGAUCCUGAUGUCUUCGGAUGGAUUUGAGUAAGAGCAUAGCUGUUGGGACCCGAAAGAUGGUGAACUAUGCCUGAAUAGGGUGAAGCCAGAGGAAACUCUGGUGGAGGCUCGCAGCGGUUCUGACGUGCAAAUCGAUCGUCAAAUUUGGGUAUAGGGGCGAAAGACUAAUCGAACCAUCUAGUAGCUGGUUCCUGCCGAAGUUCCCUCAGGAUAGCAGUGACGUUUUCAGUUUUAUGAGGUAAAGCGAAUGAUU